RNAcentral lists this ribosomal RNA (225 nucleotides) under Triticum aestivum (bread wheat). Its description in RNAcentral is "partial small subunit ribosomal RNA". The record is from RNAcentral. Lineage: Eukaryota; Viridiplantae; Streptophyta; Magnoliopsida; Poales; Poaceae.
AUGGCAAUCCGUCUCCUAUCGCGUCAAAAUCUGAGGAAGCUGGCCGCUUCCCUCACACUCCUUACUCCAUCCCAGAAGAUACUACUUUCGCCUUCCCAUCUGGCUCUUAGUUUCAGGGCAGGGAGCGCCGCGGGUUGCUCAAGGCGGCUCUACUGGCGUGCUUGCUCGUCGUUUGCUCCGGGAGAGGUGCCUCAUGUGGAUUUUUGUUCAGUAAGAUCGACCUGA